CAUGUAGGCGGUCUGUCAAGUCUGAUGUGAAAGCCCGGGGCUCAACCCCGGAAGUGCAUUGGAAACUGGCAGACUUGAGUACGGGAGAGGAAAGUGGAAUUUCGAGUGUAGGGGUGAAAUCCGUAGAUAUUCGAAGGAACACCAGUGGCGAAGGCGGCUUUCUGGACCGAUACUGACGCUGAGAUGCGAAAGCGUGGGGAGCAAACA
Molecule: ribosomal RNA, 207 nt
Filed under: uncultured bacterium
Lineage: Bacteria
Description: partial 16S ribosomal RNA
Rfam family: Bacterial small subunit ribosomal RNA
Source: RNAcentral